GCUAAUCCUACUAAAGAGUCCCUAUCAAUAGUGGGGGUUGGCACCUCGAUGUUGGCUUAGGGUAUCUUUACGGCGCAAAAGUCGUACACAGACGGUUUGUUCAACCAAUAAAACCCUACAUGAGCUGAGUUCAGACCGGCGUAAGCCAGGUUAGCUUCUAUCCUCGAUAAUUAACUCUGUUUGUAGUACGAAAGGACCUAAACAAGAAUAAUAAUUAUAGAUAAAGAAUUAAUAUAACUUUAAAUUAACCAAAACUAAAAAACACUAUA
Molecule: ribosomal RNA, 269 nt
Filed under: Geogenia natalensis
Lineage: Eukaryota; Metazoa; Annelida; Clitellata; Crassiclitellata; Microchaetidae
Description: partial 16S ribosomal RNA
Rfam family: Bacterial large subunit ribosomal RNA
Source: RNAcentral